GACGAACGCUGGCGGCGUGCUUAACACAUGCAAGUCGAACGGAAAGGCCCUGCUUUUGUGGGGUGCUCGAGUGGCGAACGGGUGAGUAACACGUGAGUAACCUGCCCUUGACUUUGGGAUAACUUCAGGAAACUGGGGCUAAUACCGGAUAGGAGCUCCUGCUGCAUGGUGGGGGUUGGAAAGUUUCGGCGGUUGGGGAUGGACUCGCGGCUUAUCAGCUUGUUGGUGGGGUAGUGGCUUACCAAGGCUUUGACGGGUAGCCGGCCUGAGAGGGUGACCGGCCACAUUGGGACUGAGGUACGGCCCAGACUGCUACGGGAGGCAGCGGUGGGGAAUAUUGCACAAUGGGCGGAAGCCUGAUGCAGCAACGCCGCGUGCGGGAUGACGGCCUUCGGGUUGUAAACCGCUUUCGCCUGUGACGAAGCGUGAGUGACGGUAAUGGGUAAAGAAGCACCGGCUAACUACGUG
This 468-nucleotide ribosomal RNA is filed under the name uncultured bacterium. RNAcentral describes it as "partial 16S ribosomal RNA". It matches the Rfam family "Bacterial small subunit ribosomal RNA", at positions 28 to 507 of the family's 1533-position model. The record is from RNAcentral.